CUCAGAUUUACCAGGCUGUGUCUUAGAGAGACUUUUGUUGCUGUGGGCUCCAGAAACUCAGGACACAACUUAGCAUCCAUGGCUACGAAAUAUUUCUUUUUUUCGUUUCUUCUGGCUUGGAGCAUUGACUGUGGGAUCAUGCAAUUCAACUGCGAACAAGCAAAGUAUAGUCAGAACUACCUGCACGAAUUUGUCAAGAAAUGCGUUUUAGCC
Molecule: non-coding RNA, 213 nt
Organism: Pocillopora verrucosa
Lineage: Eukaryota; Metazoa; Cnidaria; Anthozoa; Scleractinia; Pocilloporidae
Source: RefSeq, a predicted model, not a curated record